GCAUAUCAAUAAGCGGAGGAAAAGAAACCAACAGGGAUUGCCUCAGUAACGGCGAGUGAAGCGGCAAAAGCUCAAAUUUGAAACCCUCGGGAUUGUAAUUUGAAGAUUUGGCAUUGGAGAAAGCUAACCCAAGUUGCUUGGAAUAGUACGUCAUAGAGGGUGACAACCCCGUCUGGCUAACCGUUCUCCAUGUAUUGCCUUAUCAAAGAGUCGAGUUGUUUGGGAAUGCAGCUCAAAGUGGGUGGUAAACUCCAUCUAAAGCUAAAUACUGGUGAGAGACCGAUAGCGAACAAGUACUGUGAAGGAAAGGUGAAAAGAACUUUGAAAAGAGAGUGAAAUAGUAUGUGAAAUUGUUGAUAGGGAAGGAAAUGAGUGGAGAGUGGCCGAGGUUUCAGCCGCCCCUCGUGGGCGGUGUACUGCCGACGCCGAGUCAUCGAUAGCGAGACGAGGGUUACAAAUGGGAGCGCCUUCGGGCGUUCUCCCCUAACCCUCCACACUGCCACCGACGACAUAAUCCACCCAUUUCACCCGUCUUGAAACACGGACC
RNAcentral lists this ribosomal RNA (547 nucleotides) under Yarrowia lipolytica. Its description in RNAcentral is "eukaryotic LSU rRNA". It matches the Rfam family "Eukaryotic large subunit ribosomal RNA", at positions 38 to 667 of the family's 3401-position model. Lineage: Eukaryota; Fungi; Ascomycota; Dipodascomycetes; Dipodascales. RNAcentral also lists the same sequence under 1 other name. The record is from RNAcentral.